RNAcentral lists this ribosomal RNA (419 nucleotides) under Rhachotropis sp. BOLD:ADF7842. RNAcentral describes it as "partial 16S ribosomal RNA". Lineage: Eukaryota; Metazoa; Arthropoda; Malacostraca; Amphipoda; Eusiridae. The record is from RNAcentral.
GUGCUAAGGUAGCGAAAUCAUUUGUUUUUUAAUUGGGAACGUGUAUGAAUGGUUUAAUGAAUUUUUAAGAUAUUAUUUAAGAAAGUCAAAUUUUAAGUUAAGGUAAAAAUUCCUUAUUAUUAAAAGGGGACGAUAAGACCCUAAAAUCUUUAAUAAUUAAGUGUUUUGUUGGGAAUUUUUUUAAAAUAUUUGCUGGGGUAGUAAUUUUAUAAAAAUUAAAUUUCAAGCCGACUUUAUGAUUUAAUGAUCUUUUAUAUAAGGAUAGUUAGAAAUAGUUACUUUAGGGGUAACAGCGUAAUAUUUUUAGUGAGGCCUUAUCUAUAAAAAUGAUUGCGACCUCGAUGUUGAAUUAAAUUACUUUUAUAGGGCAGCAAAUAUAAUAGAAGGGUUUGUUCAACCUAUAAUAUUUUACAUGAUUU